GACAGAGGUUGCAAACGUUGUUCGGAAUCACUGGGCAUAAAGCGCACGUAGGCGGGCUCUUAAGUCGGUGGUGAAAUCCUGGAGCUCAACUCCAGAACUGCCUCCGAUACUGGGAGUCUUCGAGUCCGGGAGAGGUGAGUGGAACUGCGAGUGUAGAGGUGAAAUUCGUAGAUAUUCGCAAGAACACCAGUGGCGAAGGCGGCUCACUGGCCCGGUACUGACGCUGAGGUGCGAAAGCGUGGGGAGCAAACAGG
This 254-nucleotide ribosomal RNA is filed under the name uncultured bacterium. RNAcentral's name for it is "partial 16S ribosomal RNA". It matches the Rfam family "Bacterial small subunit ribosomal RNA", at positions 524 to 776 of the family's 1533-position model. The record is from RNAcentral.